RNAcentral lists this ribosomal RNA (250 nucleotides) under uncultured bacterium. RNAcentral's name for it is "partial 16S ribosomal RNA". It matches the Rfam family "Bacterial small subunit ribosomal RNA", at positions 524 to 773 of the family's 1533-position model. The record is from RNAcentral.
GACGGAGGGGGCAAGCGUUGUCCGGAAUUACUGGGCGUAAAGGGCGCGUAGGCGGUUUGGUACGGCGGUGGUGAAAGCUCCCGGCUCAACUGGGAGAGGCCCGCCGCAACGGCUGAACUCGAGGGUGGUAGAGGCGGAUGGAAUUCCUGGUGUAGCGGUGAAAUGCGUAGAGAUCAGGAGGAACACCCGUGGCGAAGGCGGUCCGCUGGGCCAUGCCUGACGCUGAGGCGCGAAAGCUAGGGGAGCGAAC